Long non-coding RNA from Mirounga angustirostris (Northern elephant seal), 1710 nucleotides. RefSeq lists it as uncharacterized. NCBI's taxonomy places the organism in Eukaryota, Metazoa, Chordata, Mammalia, Carnivora, Phocidae. The record is from RefSeq and is a predicted model, not a curated record. The transcript is spliced from 3 exons.
GAUUGAGACCGCAAGCUGGAAGUGUGCAGACCAUCAAGGGCUAGCAAUUUUUUCAUUCAGCAUGAAAAUACCUCUCUCUUCAAGCUGUAGGACAACUAAAAGAAGUCAGAGGAGUCCACCUAAAAAUAAAGCUAAGAGAUGCCUAAGCAAACUCCUCUGCCUCUCAAACUCAAGUCAGUGGAAGAACAAUAUAAACUGUGAUGUUGGGGCCAUGGAUGAAAAUUUCGGAAGAUGGAGAAGUGCAGGCAAACUAAUCAUGUACAUGGAAGUGUUUGAAUGGUAACCUGGAAGCCAAGGUAAGGGACUAUGCAGGAUCCCACAUCGCAUCGAGCCAUCAUAUCUCCUUAGUCUCCUGCAAUCUGUGAAGUUUCUCGAUCUCCUUGGAGUAGAGUGAAUUGGGUCUUCCAGAAAGAUAUGUCCAAGCCCUAACCCCUGGUUCCUGUGAAUGUGAUCUUUAUUUGGAAAUAGAGUCUUUACAGAUGUAAUUAAGUUAAGGAUCUCAGGAUAAGAUCAUUUUGGAUUGAGGGUGGGCCCUAAAUCCAAUGACUGCCGUCCUGAUAGGAGAAAGGAGAGGAAGAUUUGAGACACAGAAAUAUAAGAAAGAAGGCCACGUGAAGACAGAGGCUGGGAUUGGAGAGAUGCUGCCCCAAGCCAAGCAACACCAGGAGCCACCAGAUGCUGGAAGAAGCGAGGAAGGAUUCUUCCUACAGCCUUUGGAAGGAGGAGACCCUGUUGACACUUGAAUUUCAGACUUCUAGCCUCCUAAAUUAUGAAAGAAUGAAUAUGUGCUAUUUUAAGCCACCAAGAUUGUGGUAAUUUGUUGUGGCAGCCUGGAAAAAUGAAUACAAAAACCUUGACAACUUUGAAGAGUGUUGCUAGGUAUUUUGUAAAAUGUCCACUGGUUUGGGUUUGUCUGAUAUUUUCUCAUGAUUAUACUGUGGUUAUGGAUUUUGGGAAAGAAUACCAGACUGGUGAAGGGUGUAUCAUAUCAGAGGGUAUGUGAUAUCAACAUGAGUGGUGAUGUUGACCAUGGUCACUUAGUUAAGGUAGUGUUUGUCAAGUUCCUCUACUGUAAAGUGACUAUUUUUUUUUUCAUGCUCUACUUAUUAGAGGCAAGUCACUGAGUCCACCCAGACUCAAGGGGUCCACCUUCUAUAACUUUGCAUUCUACUUUGAAUCCUGGACCUGACACACAUUCAUUUUAAAUAUUCCUGGAAUGUUUUCAAAAAUUGUUCAUAGCUUAGGCUUUUAAAAAAAACUAUUAAUUCCAGUUAAUAGAAGUUUCACAGGCCACAUUCACUUACCACAAUGAAAUAAAACUAUAAAUCAAUAAUAAAAGAACAAAUAACAUAUAAAAAACUGAGCAUUCAAGAUACUGUCCUACAAUACUUUUUGUCAAUGAAGAAAUGAAAAGUGUAAUUAUUGGCUAUUUAAAUAAAUAACUAUAAUGUCAAGACUAUAUGUCCAAAAUUAAGGAAUGAAGUCAAGUUACACACAGGAAGAAAUUAAUGAUGGUAAAUAUUUGUAUUAUUAAGCAAAGAAAAGAGGGGCGCCUGGGUGGCUCAGUUGGUUGGGUGGCUCAGUUGGUUAGGCGGCUGCCUUUGGCUUAGGUCAUGAUCCCAGGGUCCUGGGAUCGAAUCACGCAUAGGGCUCCCUGCUCGUUGGGAAGCCUGCUUCUCCCUCUCCCUCUGCCUGCCACUCCCCCUGCUU